Molecule: non-coding RNA, 120 nt
Organism: Poecilia reticulata (guppy)
Lineage: Eukaryota; Metazoa; Chordata; Actinopteri; Cyprinodontiformes; Poeciliidae
Source: RefSeq, a predicted model, not a curated record
UCUUGCCAAUGUUCAUGAGUGUUGCCCAAUGUGUUUAACCGGCAUGUCCGCGUAAAGCACUCGGCAAUAAAAGAACAGUUACAACAUCAACGGCUACCUUAUGUCCUUCGUAACACAUAU